Molecule: ribosomal RNA, 449 nt
Filed under: uncultured Dietzia sp.
Lineage: Bacteria; Bacillati; Actinomycetota; Actinomycetes; Mycobacteriales; Dietziaceae
Description: bacterial SSU rRNA
Rfam family: Bacterial small subunit ribosomal RNA
Source: RNAcentral
CCCUACGGGCGGCUGCAGUGGGGAAUAUUGCACAAUGGGCGGAAGCCUGAUGCAGCGACGCCGCGUGGGGGAUGACGGUCUUCGGAUUGUAAACCCCUUUCAGUAGGGACGAAGCGCAAGUGACGGUACCUGCAGAAGAAGCACCGGCCAACUACGUGCCAGCAGCCGCGGUAAUACGUAGGGUGCGAGCGGUGUCCGGAAUUACUUGGCGUAAAAAGCUCGUAGGCGGUUUGUCGCGUCGUCCGUGAAAACUCGGAGCUUAACCCCGAGCUUGCGGGUGAUACGGGCAGACUUGAGUACUACAGGGGAGACUGGAAUUACUGGUGUAGCGGUGAAAUGCGCAGAUAUCAGGAGGAACACCGGUGGCGAAGGCGGGUCUCUGGGUAGUAACUGACGCUGAGGAGCGAAAGCAUGGGUAGCGAACAGGAUUAGAUACCCUAGUAGUCUUC